AUUGAACGCUGGCGGCAUGCUUUACACAUGCAAGUCGAACGGCAGCGCGGGCUUCGGCCUGGCGGCGAGUGGCGAACGGGUGAGUAAUGCAUCGGAACGUGCCCAGUAGUGGGGGAUAGCCCGGCGAAAGCCGGAUUAAUACCGCAUACGACCUGAGGGUGAAAGCGGGGGACCGAAAGGCCUCGCGCUAUUGGAGCGGCCGAUGUCGGAUUAGCUAGUUGGUGGGGUAAAGGCUUACCAAGGCGACGAUCCGUAGCUGGUCUGAGAGGACGACCAGCCACACUGGGACUGAGACACGGCCCAGACUCCUACGGGAGGCUGCAGUGGGGAAUUUUGGACAAUGGGGGCAACCCUGAUCCAGCCAUGCCGCGUGCGGGAAGAAGGCCUUCGGGUUGUAAACCGCUUUUGUUCGGGAAGAAAUCCUCUGGGCUAAUACCCCGGGGGGAUGACGGUACCGGAAGAAUAAGCACCGGCUAACUACGUG
RNAcentral lists this ribosomal RNA (484 nucleotides) under uncultured bacterium. Its description in RNAcentral is "partial 16S ribosomal RNA". It matches the Rfam family "Bacterial small subunit ribosomal RNA", at positions 28 to 507 of the family's 1533-position model. The record is from RNAcentral.